RNAcentral lists this ribosomal RNA (900 nucleotides) under uncultured bacterium. RNAcentral describes it as "bacterial SSU rRNA". It matches the Rfam family "Bacterial small subunit ribosomal RNA", at positions 9 to 922 of the family's 1533-position model. The record is from RNAcentral.
GAGUUUGAUCCUGGCUCAGGACGAACGCUGGCGGCGUGCUUAACACAUGCAAGUCGAGCGAGGACAUUUAGCAAUAGGUGUUCUAGCGGCGGACGGGUGAGUAACGCGUGAGCAAUCUGUCCCAGACAGGGGGAUAACAGAUGGAAACAUCUGCUAAUACCGCAUAAGACCACGGUUUCACAUGGGAUCGGGGUAAAAGGCGAAAGCCGGUUUGGGGUGAGCUCGCGUCCGAUUAGCUGGUUGGCGGGGUAACGGCCCACCAAGGCGACGAUCGGUAGCCGACCUGAGAGGGUGAUCGGCCACACUGGAACUGAGAGACGGUCCAGACUCCUACGGGAGGCAGCAGUGGGGAAUAUUGGGCAAUGGGGGAAACCCUGACCCAGCAACGCCGCGUGAGGGAAGAAGGUUUUCGGAUUGUAAACCUCUGUCCUUGGUGAAGAAAGAGAUGUCGGUAGCCAAGGAGGAAGCCCCGGCUAACUACGUGCCAGCAGCCGCGGUAAUACGUAGGGUGCGAGCGUUGUCCGGAAUGACUGGGCGUAAAGGGCGUGUAGGCGGCCGAUUAAGUCCGGAGUGAAAGUCCUGCUUUCAAGGUGGGAAUUGCUUUGGAAACUGGUUGGCUUGAGUGCGGAAGAGGUAAGUGGAAUUCCCAGUGUAGCGGUGAAAUGCGUAGAGAUUGGGAGGAACACCAGUGGCGAAGGCGACUUACUGGGCCGUAACUGACGCUGAGGCGCGAAAGCGUGGGGAGCGAACAGGAUUAGAUACCCUGGUAGUCCACGCGGUAAACGAUGAAUGCUAGGUGUAAGGGGUAUCGACCCCUCCUGUGCCGGAGUAAACACAAUAAGCAUUCCGCCUGGGGAGUACGGCCGCAAGGUUGAAACUCAAAAGAAAUGGACGGAUCUU